Molecule: long non-coding RNA, 1537 nt
Organism: Carcharodon carcharias (great white shark)
Lineage: Eukaryota; Metazoa; Chordata; Chondrichthyes; Lamniformes; Lamnidae
Exons: 3
Source: RefSeq, a predicted model, not a curated record
CUCAGCCGGUGUUUAUACUCUACACGCCGGGCAUAGUCAAAAUUAAAAUAACAUUUAAUGGGAGAAAGAGACAGGACCAGCAGCGCAGAAACAUGCCAGCGGCGUCCACGGGAUGGGUUUGAUUCGAACCAAAGGAUGGGUUUAGGGGGACGGCAUUUGUAGCUACAAAGGAGUUAAUGCGUGAGCCAUUUUUUUCAGCCAGCGGUGGCAGAGAGUUCACGAAAUUACACCAGUGGUGAUUAAUGCCCCGGGGCGAAGCAAGAAGCUUUUACAAUCCUGCAGUUAGCCCCAUUCGGAUCUUACAUUUGAGGGGACUUGUUCCAGCGCUCUUGUCAAUUGUUGACUUGUGCAGUGAGCCGGGAAAUCACCACUUGCUGAUCAAUGUAAUAGACAUAAACGGGACUGGAACAUUACAGUGCAUCAGUACAACAGGAGGGAGAAACCAGUCUUAGAUCACCAAAAUCGCAGGAAUGAUUGGCAGCCAAUGGUCUUAAGCAAUUUCAUUCGCCACAAAACAAAAGCCAAGGUGCUCUACAUUCUGGCUCCAAUCUUCCAUGGACGUGUUAUAAGGAUUGAUUGUGCCACAGAGUAGCAUAACUGGCUCAUGGAUGAAGACCAGACACUUGGGAAUGAAGUGAGCUGGAUGCUAACAAGAAGCCAAAGGUGCCAAUUUUAGUCUUUGUGGAAGUUCAUAAAUGGAUUCAGUAAUGGAUCAUAAAAAUAUGUGGAGAUUUACAACUUCCUUUUGGAAUUCAACUUUAUUUGGUUUACUUGGAUGAAGGACACUGCUCCAGAAACAAUGAAACUGAAAAGCCAUCAAGCUAUAUUUCCCCAAAAUGAGGUUUAUCUACUUUAUGCCACCCGGGUGUUUCCACUUUGAUGUGCUUAAUGUGUUCUAUGAUCCAAUCUAUGGUUUCUUUAUGACCCACAAUUGGCUUAUUCCAAUGUGUCCAUGGAAGGAUCUCGACAGGGAGGUAGUUCUCAACUUCAUGAUAAUGGUUCAGCCACUGCAAUGUCUGUGGAAUUGCUGAAGGCUCCACAUUUGGGUUUUUUUCUAGACAGGAUGGACUCCUUCAUAUUAGCUGUCAAAGGUCCUAGACAUAACCCUCAAAUGCUGCAGCAAUCAUUUAUGUUCAGAAAGCUUCCUUCUUUUAAAAGCAGGGCCCCUGAGGUCUGCAUCAAUAUUCUCAUCAGCUGAGAAUGUACACAAUCUGCAGACAGCUGGAUCCUGUACUUUUUGUGCCACCACCUCCUGUUCUUUCUCACUUGUACUCUGAGUAUCACCCGGUGCAUUCUUCUCAAAGUCACUGCCAAAACCCUGUGGAGUGGAUGUUAGUGUGAGCUAUGGUGCCUAUUCUGGUGUGCUUUGCUUCCAUUAGCUCCCUGGCCCUCAACUCUGCUCCAUUCGGAAAAGCUAGAGGAGAAGGGAACAUGAGAGAGGAUACUUCCUUGCUGACAAUUUCGUCUGACAUUGCUUUUUGCAGAAUAACUGAUGAAGAAUUGUGUGCUUUGAUUCCAGCGAGUAAGUGAAUAAAAU